RNAcentral lists this ribosomal RNA (851 nucleotides) under Paracamarosporium fagi. Its description in RNAcentral is "partial large subunit ribosomal RNA". It matches the Rfam family "Eukaryotic large subunit ribosomal RNA", at positions 58 to 926 of the family's 3401-position model. The record is from RNAcentral. Lineage: Eukaryota; Fungi; Ascomycota; Dothideomycetes; Pleosporales; Didymosphaeriaceae.
AAAGAAACCAACAGGGAUUGCCCUAGUAACGGCGAGUGAAGCGGCAACAGCUCAAAUUUGAAAUCUGGCUCUCUUUGGGGGUCCGAGUUGUAAUUUGCAGAGGAUGCUUUGGCAUUGGCGGCGGUCUAAGUUCCUUGGAACAGGACAUCGCAGAGGGUGAGAAUCCCGUACGUGGGCGCCUGCCUUUGCCGUGUAAAGCUCCUUCGACGAGUCGAGUUGUUUGGGAAUGCAGCUCUAAAUGGGAGGUAAAUUUCUUCUAAAGCUAAAUACCGGCCAGAGACCGAUAGCGCACAAGUAGAGUGAUCGAAAGAUGAAAAGUACUUUGGAAAGAGAGUCAAAAAGCACGUGAAAUUGUUGAAAGGGAAGCGCUUGCAGCCAGACUUGCCCGCAGUUGCUCACCUAGGCUUUGGCCUGGGGCACUCUUCUGCGGGCAGGCCAGCAUCAGUUUGGGCGGUUGGAUAAAGGCCUCUGUCACGUAUCUUCCUUCGGGAUGACCUUAUAGGGGAGGCGUAAUGCAACCAGCCCGGACUGAGGUCCGCGCAUCUGCUAGGAUGCUGGCGUAAUGGCUGUAAGCGGCCCGUCUUGAAACACGGACCAAGGAGUCUAACAUCUAUGCGAGUGUUUGGGUGUCAAGCCCGGGCGCGCAAUGAAAGUGAACGGAGGUGGGAACCCUUUGGGUGCACCAUCGACCGAUCCUGAUGUCUUCGGAUGGAUUUGAGUAAGAGCAUAGCUGUUGGGACCCGAAAGAUGGUGAACUAUGCUUGAAUAGGGUGAAGCCAGAGGAAACUCUGGUGGAGGCUCGCAGCGGUUCUGACGUGCAAAUCGAUCGUCAAAUUUGGGCAUAGGGGCGA